Long non-coding RNA from Saccostrea echinata, 833 nucleotides. RefSeq lists it as uncharacterized. The transcript has 2 exons. NCBI's taxonomy places the organism in Eukaryota, Metazoa, Mollusca, Bivalvia, Ostreida, Ostreidae. The record is from RefSeq and is a predicted model, not a curated record.
CAGCUGUUUAAUACGUCUUCUGGCUCGAUCAGACUGGUAGAUAGACUGUUAGGUUACUAAUGAAGAUGUGUUGAAGAUUUUAGACAUGGAAACCGAUGGGCUUACCUGGGAUGAACAAGAAUCUCAUAAAGAGGAGACAGAAGACCGAUCUACUGUACAAUUUCUUUCUGUUUCAAACUCGUCAAUUAUUCAGUCAAAAUGUAGUUUGACCGAAAACAACUCUGAAAAUAAUAGGGAUGGCCAAGCAAGAACAAACACCCGGAAGCCACAGAAUUACAUGUGUUUAGCUUUGAUCACUAUCCUUUGCAACUGUCCUUUCGGUUGCGCAGCAACUGUUUUCUCUCUUCUGUCGUCGAAGAGUUUCAUUGAAGGCAAGCAGAAAGAGGCUGUUCAGAGAGGAAACAUUUCCAAGUGGAUCUCGAUUGUUGGGCUCGCUGUAUCUGUUGUCGUGAUUCUGUUCAUUAUUGUAUAUGUGGUCGCCAUUGUCCCUAAUGUGAUCGACAAUGCACACGAUCUUCUGAACAAUUGAAAAGACGGUCAGUAACAUUGCCAAUCAAAGAUAGAGAAAAAUAACAAUCAACGGUGGAUAAAUUAGGACCAUGAGAUGUUUCAAUUUCUAUGCCACAAGACUAUCAUCUGGUCUGGGUAUUGUAAUAAAUACUCAAGGAAAAGCUGUAUAAAUAGAUCAAUUUGUCAUUCUGCUAUUAAUUUAGAGUAAGCAAAAAAAAAAAAAAAAAAAAAAUUGAAAUAUAUAUCAUACUAUACAUGUACGUCCACAUCAUCAUGCAAUAGCAUGUGAAACAGAAAAGUAAAUUAAAUAAUCAUCAAGACGA